RNAcentral lists this ribosomal RNA (450 nucleotides) under uncultured organism. RNAcentral's name for it is "partial 16S ribosomal RNA". It matches the Rfam family "Bacterial small subunit ribosomal RNA", at positions 331 to 797 of the family's 1533-position model. The record is from RNAcentral.
GUACACUCCUGCGGGAGGCAGCAGUGGGGAAUAUUGGACAAUGGGCGCAAGCCUGAUCCAGCCAUGCCGCGUGAGUGAUGAAGGCCCUAGGGUUGUAAAGCUCUUCCACCGGUGAAGAUAAUGACGGUAACCGGAGAAGAAGCCCCGGCUAACUUCGUGCCAGCAGCCGCGGUAAUACGAAGGGGGCUAGCGUUGUUCGGAUUUACUGGGCGUAAAGCGCACGUAGGCGGACUAUUAAGUCAGGGGUGAAAUCCCGGGGCUCAACCCCGGAACUGCCUUUUAUACUGGUAGUCUUGAGUUCGAGAGAGGUGAGUGGAAUUCCGGGUGUAGAGGUGAAAUUCGUAGAUAUUCGGAGGAACACCAGUGGCGAAGGCGGCUCACUGGCUCGAUACUGACGCUGAGGUGCGAAAGCGUGGGGAGCAAACAGGAUUAGAUACCCUUGUAGUCCCA